Long non-coding RNA from Mus musculus (house mouse), 360 nucleotides. RefSeq annotates it as predicted gene, 31180. NCBI's taxonomy places the organism in Eukaryota, Metazoa, Chordata, Mammalia, Rodentia, Muridae. The transcript has 3 exons. The record is from RefSeq and is a predicted model, not a curated record.
GGCAAGGCCAGCGGCAGAGCCAUCUUUGGACUUCCCUGAUUGCCUUUGGGAAGGGAGGCAAAGACUAGAACGUUGCAGAAGCAGGAGACUCCUUGGGCUGUGUGACCUUCCUUGUCUCACAGGAUGGGUUAUGAAGCCCAUCCCUGGAAUGUGCUUCCAUGCUGGGAGCCUCAGUCCUGCUCUUGGCUCAGAGAUCAGCUACUGCCUACUUGAAAGCCGUCCAAUAGUGGCCAGUCCUGGUAGCUUUGUCCACAGAAGCCAAGGAGAGUCACCUGGUAAGAGAGAACCUCAACCUGAGAAUCAGCAAGACUGGCUUGUUGGCAUGUCUCUGAGAUUUUUACUAAAUUACUAAUCGAUGGA